GGAGAGGUGUCAGAGUGGUCGAAUGAGCCGGAUUCGAAAUCCGGUGUAUCCGCGAGGGUACCGUGGGUUCGAAUCCCACCCUCUCCGCCA
This 90-nucleotide transfer RNA is filed under the name Deltaproteobacteria bacterium. Its description in RNAcentral is "tRNA-Ser". It matches the Rfam family "tRNA". From Rfam's summary of the family: Transfer RNA (tRNA) molecules are approximately 80 nucleotides in length. The record is from RNAcentral. Lineage: Bacteria; Pseudomonadati; Myxococcota; Myxococcia. RNAcentral also lists the same sequence under 1 other name.